CCCCUCUCAGGGUUGCAUCUGGAGAAUUUCCAGUACUAUACCAGUCUCGACUAUGGGAGGGAGAGUCAAGCAGAGGCAUAACCAUUCCAUUCCUAGCUUGGGCAGUAGCUAGCAAGUGGAAGGCAAUGUGCUACAAGU
RNAcentral lists this small nucleolar RNA (138 nucleotides) under Ornithorhynchus anatinus (platypus). The record is from RNAcentral. Lineage: Eukaryota; Metazoa; Chordata; Mammalia; Monotremata; Ornithorhynchidae.